This 5905-nucleotide unclassified non-coding RNA is filed under the name Hevea brasiliensis (rubber tree). The record is from RNAcentral. Lineage: Eukaryota; Viridiplantae; Streptophyta; Magnoliopsida; Malpighiales; Euphorbiaceae.
CACAGACGCUCGGCCAGACAAAGCGACUCGCUCUUCUUUCAUUGCGUUUCCAGUUUCAACAACCUCUUAAAUGACAAAAUUACCCAUAUCGUGUUUCCUAAUUUACCAGCUGUGGACUUUCUCCUAUGCCUUCUCUGCUUCACAAUUCCUACGCCACUGACCUCCAGCCCCCCACCAGGUUCAUGGACGCCUCCGAGGCCCCUCGGCCACCCCAAUUCCGUCUUCUCACUCCACGCAUUCCCUCCUGCCUUCUUGGCCCCGAGAGGUUCCUAUCACCGUACGUAUGCCAUCAUAUACCUUUUGGAAAUGUUUUCAGAUUUGCACUUUCUAAUGGGACUUCCACCUCUCUCUUGAACCCUGUAAUGUCUAUGAAGAAAGGCCAUUCAAGCACUUCUUCUGGAGGAUUAUGUGAGGUAGUUUGGACAUUGGAAGCUGAUUUGGCACCUGGUCAGGUUGUUUACAUUACUGGGGAUCCUAUUUCAUUAGGUGGUUGGCAGCCAGACAUGGCUCUUCAGAUGUGUUCUACUAAACAUGCAAAGUUGUGGAAAACUGAAGUCAAGAUACCUUCAGGUAUCAACUUUAAGUAUAAUUAUUUCAUCAAAGAAGAAACAUGGCCUCCAGGUGACAUCAUAUGGAGACCUGGUCCAGAAUUUUCUUUAUCAGUACCUCUGAAUGUCAAACAAGAUAAAAAAGUUAUGGUGAGGGAUUCAUGGUUGAAGUUUAACACUAAAAGAUCUCCACCUCAUGUAUGGGGAUCGUGGAUAGGGGAGAAUUAUUUACCAGUCCAACCUUUAGUUUCUGCUCAAGCCAGAGUGCUUUGACAGAUAAACAAGAGAUCGUGAACCACCUUGAAGUUGAUUUAAAGGAGUCUGAGGUAUUCAUAAAUGAUCUCCAAGUCAAGGAUGAAUUGUUCUUCAAUAAUAAACAUACAAAUGCUGCCAUAAAUGAUGGUCCAAAAUUUAUUUUCUCUGAAAGAGAGCAACCUGUUGAGGAACCCUGGUUACUUGAAUCAUCAAUGAUCUUUCUUGUCUCUAUGGAUAAGAUCGUGCCUAAUAUGUCCAAAAAUAAUGGCACUGUAGAAGAUGGUGCAAUAAAUCUGGAUGUUGACAGUCAGCAUCCCCAAGUCAAAGAUACAUUGUUGCCUGUAGAUGCGAAUAAUCUCAUUUUAAAGGAUGAUUCUGUUUCUACGAUCAUUUUGAUUAAUUCUUCAAUAUGUACCAUGCAACGGAUUGCUGUACUGGAAGAUGGGAAAUUAGUUGAAUUACUUCUGGAACCUGUUAAAACCAAUGUGCAGUGUGAUAGUGUGUAUCUAGGGGUGGUUACCAAAUUUGUUCCCCAUAUGGGUGGUGCAUUUGUGAACAUUGGGCAUUCAAGGCCUUCUCUUAUGGAUAUAAAGCAAAACAGGGAGCCAUUCAUAUUCCCCCCAUUCCGUCAGAGGACAAAGAAAGGGAAAAUCAGUAGUUCUGGGCUUGAAGCCCUUGGAGAGCAUCCGUAUACUGAUGAAAAUGAACAUACAUCACAUGAUGUUGAAGGCAUUGAUGAUGUUACAGAAUUCAUCUCCCAGGAAGAUUUGGUACCAUUUGCACAUGAUGACCAUGAGGAGCAUGAAGUUGAUGAAGAUUUUGAUAUUUCAGAAGUCAAGGAAAAUGUGAAUGGCAGUAUAAUUAAUUAUGGUGAAGUGGAUACUCAUUUUGAGCACUUCUUGGAUGGAAGAGAGCACCACCUGAAAGUUGAAACUAUGAACAGGUUUCUUCCAUUUGGAACAGAAAAAUCUAAUGAUCCUUUAAUGUCUCAUCCACAAGAUAUGAAGGAUUCUGAAAAUUUAUUGGCUAGUGAAAACAAGUGGAUUCAAGUUCGUAAGGGCACCAAAAUUAUUGUACAAGUUGUCAAAGAGGGAUUGGGUACAAAAGGUCCUACUCUGACUGCUUACCCAAAAUUGCGAAGCAGAUUCUGGAUAUUGAUAACUCGAUGCGAUAAAAUUGGAAUCUCAAAAAAAAUAUCUGGUGUUGAGCGUACACGCCUGAAAGUUAUAGCCAAAACUUUGCAGCCACCUGGUUUUGGUCUUACUGUGAGGACUGUUGCUGCUGGUCAUUCUUUAGAGGAAUUGCAAAAAGACCUGGAAGGUUUACUUUCAACUUGGAAAAAUAUAGUGGAACAUGCAAAAUCUGCUGCUCUUGCUGCAGAUGAAGGUGUAGAAGGGGCCAUUCCUGUUAUACUGCACAGGGCAAUGGGUCAAACACUCUCAGUUGUUCAGGAUUAUUUUAGUGAGAAGGUUCAGAAAAUGGUGGUUGACUCUCCUAGGACAUAUCAUGAGGUUACAAACUACCUUCAGGACAUUGCUCCUGAUCUUUGUGAUCGAGUUGAAUUGUAUGAUAAAAGAAUUCCUCUUUUUGAUGAAUUCAAAAUUGAAGAAGAGAUCAAUAAUAUCCUUAGCAAAAGGGUUCCAAUCCCUAAGGGAGGUUCUUUGGUGAUUGAACAAACAGAGGCAUUAGUCUCCAUUGAUGUGAAUGGUGGACAUGUAAUGUUAGGUCAGCGGACUUCACAAGAAAAAGCUAUUUUGGAUGUUAAUCUUGCUGCUGCAAAACAGAUUGCAAGGGAGUUGCGGCUGAGAGAUGUUGGUGGUAUAAUUGUUGUGGACUUUAUCGAUAUGGCAGAUGACUCAAAUAAGAGAUUAGUAUACGAGGAAAUGAAGAAAGCUGUUGAGAAAGACCGAUCAACAGUGAAGGUUUCUGAAUUGUCAAAGCAUGGACUGAUGGAAAUAACUAGAAAAAGGGUUAGACCUAGUGUCGCUUUUAAGAUUAGUGAACCUUGCACUUGCUGUCACGCUACUGGGAGAGUUGAAGCUUUAGAGACCUCCUUUUCAAAGAUUGAACAAGAAAUUUGCCGAUUGCUUGCAUUGAUGGACCAGAAGGCAGACCCUGAAAACCCCAAGACCUGGCCAAGAUUUGUUUUGAGGGUUGAUCAUCACAUGUGCAACUACUUAACUACUGGGAAAAGGACAAGACUUGCAAUCUUGAGUAGUUCUCUCAAAGUCUGGAUUUUUUUAAAGGUUGCUAGAGGUUUCGCUAGGGGGGCAUUUGAGGUGAAACCAUUUACAGAUGACCAGGCAAAUGAAAAUCAACAUCAAGUUGCAAUAUCAGUGCUAAGACAAGCAGAGACUAGAACUAUCAAUUCUGGCAAAAAAGUAACUCUUGUUCCUGUUAAAGAAAGCAAGUCUCGUGGGAAAUGAAAUUGACUUCUCACAUUACAUUUUUGUAUAAGCCUGCAUUUUUGUUUUCAUUUUUAUCUUUUUCGUUCAUCAUUAUUAUUUUUGUAUCUACACCAUUUAUCUAUGCUGGGAGAGGACAGUCUUUUUCUGGUUUCACAUGAUGUCCUGUUUGCUUGAUGGUGGGAUGUGGCAUGUUUUAGGAGGUGUUUCCCACUGUAACUUGAAACUAGUUGGUUUCCAUUGUAGUACUGCAGCAUUAACUAAUCUUGCUGCUAGCAUUUUUGUCAUGCUAUGUUAAUUGUAGCAGUUUUAGAAGAACUUGCCGGCGGACACUAACUCACUGGCAAUGCAAUUUGAUAAAACAUCUAUGGGUUUCCUGUGGCACUUGCAGUUUUGCAUUAAGCCAUCCCUCUAUGGAUUAUACGUUCCAAAAAUACUCAUCGUAAUGUUACACCAAAUCUCAAUACAGCAACGGCAAUGUCGCAGAAACACGAUUACAACUACAUCAGCCACUUCAAAUCCCUGUUUUAAUUCAAUCACCACAAAGACAAGUAAUACAAUGUUCAUUCAGGUGUACAAUCCAACCACCUUCUCAACAAAGUAUUAUUCAGUAAAAACAGAUCAAGUGUAUAAAUAGUCUUACAACGCUUCUUAACUGCUUGUGAAUGGUCUAAUAAAAAUAUGAAAAUAAAAAGCUGAGAUGCAAAUUUCAUCUUUGAUAAGGUAACAAACAAUUGCUUACACAGAUUGGAAUGAAUCAAGAACCAAAGUGAUGAAACACUGAUGAAAUUUUUGAUAUUGUUCUACAGGUACAAAAUUCAUGAUACUGCUAUUAAAACUAACAAAUAAUGGUAACAGUUCUCAAAGCGGAAGACAAUGGCUAAACGUACAUGUGCAUAUAUUCCAUUGCAGCAACAGAAAAGCUUCAAAUCUCAUGUAUAAGAAUUAACUGGCAGCAGUAUUGCAGGUGUUUAUGCCAUCUUUGCAAUCGUUAGUAAGAUCAUUGAACGUCUCAAUCUGCUUUUUCCCUCUCAAGAAUACUUCUGUAUCAACAGACACCCUCAUAUAACCAUCAAAUUCAACUGGAACACCUUUGUUAAGUUUGGUUGUCUCUGAGUACCACUCACUGUUCUCAUCCCAAAGAUCCUUGUACUCAUCAAGAAAAUGAGUUGUGUACUUGUCCUUCAAAGGGUCAAAGAAGGAAGUGUCAGGUUCAUUCGUUGCAAUGUAGAUGUUCCUCCCGUCUUCAAUCUUGUUAGCCAAGGUUGAAAGCAGUGCAUCAGGAGAAGUAUCCGCUGCAAGAUUAGGCCAGAGUUCCUUGUUCAUUGCUUUAUCCCCUCUCUCAAUGUGAACUGCAUCAUAAUCCCAAUUCAAUCUCGAGGCCAUUGCUGACACAAUAUCCAUCAACCUUCUCGAUUUCCAUAUCAAAUGCCAUGGCCGUUGAACAACAGACUCUGUUUCUCCUUCACACACUCUGUACCAGUAAUUAUCUGGUUCAACUGAUCCAAACUUCCUCAUGAUUAGGGUGUCUUUAACCUCCGCAAGCUUCAUAGGGGUGACCCUAAAAUCCUCCAAAAGAUAAAGACUCAGCUUAUCCUUUUUAUGCCAUUUACCCCAGUCCUCCCAAAACUGAGCCUGGUCCAACACUGAUGCUGCCUCCUUCAAAUGCUCAAAAUCAAAAUAAAACCUGAAAUCCUUCCCUUCCUCAUCUUGAUUUGAAGAACUAUACAUCGAAUUCAAACAAAUAGUCAAAUCCAUAAUCAAAGUUCGAUUUAGAUACUGUGCUUCACCUAAUGCACACAAGAAACUCCACAAGUAGUGAUUCAUACUCUUGCAUCUAUCACCACCACCAUUGUAAAUCAAAUACUUGCCACGGCUAAAUGACUUCUCUGACUCAACCACAGGAAGUGAAUCAUUCACAGUUUCCCCAACAACAGGCAACAGCACUGGCUUUUGUUUUCCUGCAGGUGCCUUUUCAAACCCAGGUUUCUGAUUCUUCUUCCUCUUCCUUGCAUUUACGCCUGUAUGGUAAUCGCCAAUCCCCACAACACUAAGUGUACAAUUCUCUGAUCUACCUAUCACAAAUCGCCUGUAAUCCUUGUAAAAUGCAGCAGUCUUCCCUUCCUUAGGCCUAAAUCUCCAAGCCAUGUCACAACUACUAUCAUUAUUGGCAGGAACUGGUUUUCCAAACCUAUAAAAAUGUAUGUCCUUAAAAUGCUCUAUUGCCUUUCUCAUCAUCAAAUGAAACACUUCUGGGUCCCUACAAUCUAAAGGACCAACACAAUUCUCUGCUCUUAAUUCAGGGGUACUAGCACCACCAUCCUUUGGGAUUUCUACAUCUGUAAUGUUGAUAAAAGUGGCGAAUGCAGUCUGAUUUGAGGCCAUGAAAUCUUCCCCGGUUUUCACUACAGUAUCAUCGGAUUUAAACGAGGCAUUUGAGGUUGAUGUGAGGAAUGUGUUGAUCUUUGUUGAUGGAUGAAAAAGCGGGUCCUCAGGCUCAUAUGUAGCAGCGAUUAUGGUGAAAAUGAGGACUCCUAGAACAAAUAUUGUGAAGCAGAGAUUCCCAAUCAUAGCCAAUGCAUUUUGGCCAAGAUUUUCUGGCCUAAAACUUCCUGUUCUUGCUAAAGUGGCCCGACCAAACAUCUUUCCCUCCCUCUUCAGCCAAGAUUCUAAAAUUAAACUAAAAUCCACCCACGA